UGCAAGUCGAACGCACUUUCGUUGAAUGAAUUAGAGGUGCUUGCACCGAAGAUGAUUUUAGCUAUAAAGUGAGUGGCGAACGGGUGAGUAACACGUGGGUAACCUGCCCAGAAGUGGGGGAUAACACCUGGAAACAGAUGCUAAUACCGCAUAACAAAGUAAACCGCAUGGUUUACUUUUAAAAGAUGGCUUCGGCUAUCACUUCUGGAUGGACCCGCGGCGUAUUAGCUAGUUGGUGAGAUAAAGGCUCACCAAGGCAGUGAUACGUAGCCGACCUGAGAGGGUAAUCGGCCACAUUGGGACUGAGACACGGCCCAGACUCCUACGGGAGGCAGCAGUAGGGAAUCUUCCACAAUGGACGAAAGUCUGAUGGAGCAACGCCGCGUGAGUGAUGAAGGCUUUAGGGUCGUAAAACUCUGUUGUUGGAGAAGAACGUGUGUGAGAGUAACUGCUCAUGCAGUGACGGUAUCCAACCAGAAAGCCACGGCUAACUACGUGCCAGCAGCCGCGGUAAUACGUAGGUGGCAAGCGUUAUCCGGAUUUAUUGGGCGUAAAGCGAGCGCAGGCGGUCUUUUAAGUCUAAUGUGAAAGCCUUCGGCUUAACCGAAGAAGUGCAUUGGAAACUGGAAGACUUGAGUGCAGAAGAGGACAGUGGAACUCCAUGUGUAGCGGUGAAAUGCGUAGAUAUAUGGAAGAACACCAGUGGCGAAGGCGGCUGUCUGGUCUGUAACUGACGCUGAG
RNAcentral lists this ribosomal RNA (741 nucleotides) under Pediococcus parvulus. Its description in RNAcentral is "bacterial SSU rRNA". It matches the Rfam family "Bacterial small subunit ribosomal RNA", at positions 56 to 750 of the family's 1533-position model. The record is from RNAcentral. Lineage: Bacteria; Bacillati; Bacillota; Bacilli; Lactobacillales; Lactobacillaceae.